CCAGACCUGACUGCUAUCGGAUUGAUACUAAGCCAUGCGAGUCUUUGCAGUAAUGCAAGGCGGACUGCUCAGUAACACGUAGUCAACUUAACCUAUGGAUGGGUAUAACCUCGGGAAACUGAGAAUAAUUCCCAAUAGAUCAUUUAUCCUGGAAUGGUUAGUGAUUGAAAUGAUUCGUCGCCAUAGGAUAGGACUGCGGCCUAUCAGCUUGUUGGUGAGGUAAAGGCCCACCAAGGCUAUUACAGGCACGGGCUCUGAGAGGAGAAGCCCGGAGAUGGGUACUGAGACACGGACCCAGGCCCUAUGGGGCGCAGCAGGCGAGAAAACUUUGCAAUGUGCGAAAGCACGACAAGGUUAAUCCGAGUGGUUUCUGCUAAAGAAAUCUUUUGCCAGUUCUAAAAAUACUGGUGAAUAAGGGGUGGGCAAGUUCUGGUGUCAGCCGCCGCGGUAAAACCAGCACCUCAAGUUGUCAGGAGGAUUAUUGGGCCUAAAGCAUCCGUAGCCGGCUCUGUUAGUUUUCGGUUAAAUCCAUAUGCUCAACAUAUGGGCUGUCGGAAAUACUGCAGAGCUAGGGAAUGGGAGAGGUAGGCGGUACUCGGUAGGAAGGGGUAAAAUCCUUUGAUCUAUUGAUGACCACCUGUGGCGAAGGCGGUCUACCAGAACAUGUUCGACGGUGAGGGAUGAAAGCUGGGGGAGCAAACCGGAUUAGAUACCCGGGUAGUCCCAGCUGUAAACGAUGCAGACUAGAUGAUGCAUUAGCAUAUAGCUAGUGCAGUGUCUCAGGGAAGCCGUUAAGUCUGCCGCCUGGGAAGUACGUACGCAAGUAUGAAACUUAAAGGAAUUGGCGGGGGAGCACCACAAGGGGUGAAGCCUGCGGUUCAAUUGGAGUCAACGCCGGA
Molecule: ribosomal RNA, 899 nt
Filed under: uncultured archaeon
Lineage: Archaea
Description: bacterial SSU rRNA
Rfam family: Archaeal small subunit ribosomal RNA
Source: RNAcentral